AAGUGCCGUACUCGUACAUCACCAUUUUCAAAAAAAAAACUUAUGGUAUUUCUUUUCAUGCAUAGGCAGGUCAAAAAAUAUAUUUGCAUUUAUGCUAAGCACCAUGUCAAGCUCAACUAUUUUAUAUUCAAUAUCGUUUUAAGGGUGCAUUCCUCGCCAUAACAAGGGAUAAGUGUGAAGUGAGAUAUUUUUGAAUGUGCAAAAAAAUAUUAAGGAAAAAAUAGUUGAGUUCCAACCUGUAUUCACAUUAGUUUUUCACGAAGCUUUAAGUAAAACACAUGUUCACUUUUUAAUUGUAUCUUAGAUAUUAUAAUAUUAUUCAUUCUUAUACAUUCUUGCUCUAAUCCAAAAAUUGUUUCUAUUUAUAAUUUCUUUAACCACAGCAUAGAUAGUCGAAAAAAUGACUUUAACACAUAUUUCUAUUCACUGAAAAAUGUGAAGUUGGUUGCCAUCAAAGGCUAAUCGUCUGUGGAAAUCAUAAGAAAUAAAAACCAUUAAAAUCCAAAAAGUUUUUGUAGAGCCUUAUCCUAAGUCUAUAUUUUAUAAAUAUUUUAUUUCUAAUAUUUUUUGUUAUCUUAGUUGUUUUGUGGUAAAACUACUGCAGCCAUCACGUACAAGUUUUGUACUAUAGGAAUAGUUUUUUUUGUUAAAUACACUUCCUCGAAAGGGGUUAAUACGGCCAGGCCGUAAUAAAAAACAACAAACAAACAAACAAACAAUAUUUUUUUUUAAAGAAAUCUAAUAGUAACAAUACUAGAAUCGCAUCAUUUAUUACUACAUUAUCUUAAAAUGUAGAUGAAAUACAAGAUACGCAAAAAUAAGAUACUAAAAUUGAAUUAAGCUUUCUGACAGUCAACUGUCCCAUUUUGGUCUAUUAUACUGUAUUUUCCCCUGCGAACGAAUGGCAAAGCAAAUAAGCAAUAGAAUGAUCCGCCCAUUUUCUGUCGAUUUAAUAGGAAGCCAUGAUUGUAACCACAGUAAUUUAUUCAUUCUAACGAAGGUGUGUGUUAAACAUUCACGCAUCUACUCCUUUGAAAAGCGAAACAUUGAGAGAAAAAGAGAGAGAAACAAGAGAGCGAAUGAAAAGAAACCAUCUGCGGGUUGAAGUAGAGUGUGCGCACAAAUGCCCGUCUAUUUAUAAAGAUUUUGUCAUGAGUUGAUUCAAACCCUCCGAAACUCUCUGCCAUGUUUGCAAAAGUGAGGCAGCAGCAUCCCACAUAGUUUUUAUAGCUCCAUUUAUGUACGCAUAAAUGGGACAGUUAUAGUGAUUUUUAUGACGUCUGCUUUGUUAGUAUGAGUGCACGGUUCGACUAGAAACGUGUUUGAGGAAGGCUCGUGGCAUUGUCAUACUCUCACGGUUUUACGAGUUUUACGACACUUUUAUGCGAGAUAGAAUGGGACAUAAAAUCACGGGAAGUUUUCAUUUGAUAGUCGUAUCGUGCAGCUUCCUUUUCUGACUGGCCUACCACAGAAUCGUCCUCCGAAGACAAAGAGAAUCCAUAAGCAGUAGUAAACAAGGGCGAGUCUACAUGCUACUGAACGCGGACGUAACUGAACCACGGUUUCUGAAGAGUGUCUGUUUUAUUGAGUGUGAAAGAGUCGAGAAUUGCCCAUUUGUGCGAUAAAAGUGAUGAUCACACUCUGCCUUAGGCUGCCUCACACUGUUUGCGACGAGCGGUUUCUUGUGGCUGAUUCGACCUCAGGUUUCAUUUCCUACCAUGGGUGUUUCCUUGCAUUGUAUUGUGAAUGAUUCUAGCAAUGCUUGCUGUGAACAACGACUGUUCAAAACCAACGACCGUAACUAGCAUUAGUGACAUGGAACAAAGCAUAAAAUAACCCACCGACGGCUCUGGGCCUUCAUUCUUCAUUCACUGUCUUUCUUUCCAAAGAUUGUCUUUGUUCAAAAUUAAUGCAACAGAACAUGCAAGAAUGUCCGCAUUGGUGCUGUUGUUAAUGAAUUAAACGAAUUAAAAUUAUAUUUUGAUUAAAUUUAA
Molecule: long non-coding RNA, 1994 nt
Organism: Anopheles gambiae (African malaria mosquito)
Lineage: Eukaryota; Metazoa; Arthropoda; Insecta; Diptera; Culicidae
Exons: 2
Source: RefSeq, a predicted model, not a curated record